Molecule: long non-coding RNA, 889 nt
Organism: Lycium barbarum (goji berry)
Lineage: Eukaryota; Viridiplantae; Streptophyta; Magnoliopsida; Solanales; Solanaceae
Exons: 3
Source: RefSeq, a predicted model, not a curated record
UUUUCAACUUGCAAAGUCUUAUUCCUUUAAGCUAGCAGCAAGCAUGUUCAACGUAAUGGCAAUACAAUUACUUUUAAACUUAUACCUUUACUUUAUCAAUUCUCGUUGAAGAUGAAUAAACGUACAACAACUCUUUUAAGGCAGCUCAUCUUGAAUUUAAGCUAUUCAUCAAAUGGAGUGGAGGCAGCAAUGAAACCUAUAUGUAUCAAUGCAGCUACCACAAAGGGCAGCAAGCAAUGUCAUUUUCAGAUUCUAUAAUAGCAGUAUAGGUAUUAGAAGAAGAAACGUAAUAUUUUCUGUUUGGGGGCAGCAACGUUCUAUCAACUCUUAUAAUCCUUGAAUAAACCCCUUAGUAGCAGCUGCUCAUGGAUGUAGUGCAUUUGGAGCUCUUAGUAACUUCAUCCUAUAUAAAGAAAAGUUGUAAUUUCCAGCAAGAAUUUUAAGAGGUCAAGCUUGCUAGUAAGGCUUUCCUUCCAAUUAUUGAGGCUAAAGGGGCGACGAGGCGAAAAGGAUUCAUGAAUAGUCGCUGACAGGUACAGACGCACAGUUUGGUGAUCCUUCCGUUUAGGACAUCCCCUUCUGCUGUUUGGAGUGCUCUUCUCAUUUCAGAGCAUACAUUUUGGUAUAUAAUUGUUCGCUAUGUGUAUAUGUAUUUGUUCAGGGGUACGGCGGGGCCCUGUCCCGCCAUAUGAUUCGUUUGGUCUGUUUAGAGGUCUGUAGACUUAUUUGUGGGUGUGUGUGCCUACUUCUGCUCAGUUGUGUUUAUAUGACUCUAUUCGUUAUGGCAGCCUUGUCGGCGUGCGUUUGUAUAUGUGUUUUGGGCCGUUGUGCCAUUUGACAGCCUUGUCGGCUUUUGAUAUAUUUGACAGCCUUGUCGGCUUUUGACGUA